RNAcentral lists this ribosomal RNA (493 nucleotides) under uncultured bacterium. RNAcentral's name for it is "partial 16S ribosomal RNA". It matches the Rfam family "Bacterial small subunit ribosomal RNA", at positions 28 to 503 of the family's 1533-position model. The record is from RNAcentral.
GAUGAACGCUGGCGGCGUGCCUAAUACAUGCAAGUCGAGCGAACGGACGAGAAGCUUGCUUCUCUGAUGUUAGCGGCGGACGGGUGAGUAACACGUGGAUAACCUACCUAUAAGACUGGGAUAACUUCGGGAAACCGGAGCUAAUACCGGAUAAUAUUUUGAACCGCAUGGUUCAAAAGUGAAAGACGGUCUUGCUGUCACUUAUAGAUGGAUCCGCGCUGCAUUAGCUAGUUGGUAAGGUAACGGCUUACCAAGGCAACGAUGCAUAGCCGACCUGAGAGGGUGAUCGGCCAGACGGAAAGAGAGACGGGGACCAGCGUGCGGCGGGAGGGGGCAGGAGGGUCUCUUCCGGAGUGGGCGAAAGACAGACGGAGCCGCGGCGCGUGAGUGAGGAGUCUCUUGGGAUCAAAAAACUGUGUUAGUAGAAAAGAAGAUAUGUGUAAGUAGCUGUGCACCUAUUGGCUGUACAAAGAAAGAGAGCCACAGCUAACUG